RNAcentral lists this ribosomal RNA (627 nucleotides) under uncultured beta proteobacterium. RNAcentral describes it as "bacterial SSU rRNA". It matches the Rfam family "Bacterial small subunit ribosomal RNA", at positions 790 to 1422 of the family's 1533-position model. The record is from RNAcentral. Lineage: Bacteria; Pseudomonadati; Pseudomonadota; Betaproteobacteria.
GUAGUCCACGCCCUAAACGAUGUCUACUAGUUGUCGGGCCUUAAUUGGCUUGGUAACGCAGCUAACGCGUGAAGUAGACCGCCUGGGGAGUACGGUCGCAAGAUUAAAACUCAAAGGAAUUGACGGGGACCCGCACAAGCGGUGGAUGAUGUGGAUUAAUUCGAUGCAACGCGAAAAACCUUACCUACCCUUGACAUGCCAGGAACCCCGCUGAAAGGUGGGGGUGCUCGAAAGAGAACCUGGGCACAGGUGCUGCAUGGCUGUCGUCAGCUCGUGUCGUGAGAUGUUGGGUUAAGUCCCGCAACGAGCGCAACCCUUAUCAUUAGUUGCUACGCAAGGGCACUCUAAUGAGACUGCCGGUGACAAACCGGAGGAAGGUGGGGAUGACGUCAAGUCCUCAUGGCCCUUAUGGGUAGGGCUUCACACGUCAUACAAUGGUCGGUACAGAGGGCUGCCAACCCGCGAGGGGGAGCUAAUCCCAGAAAACCGAUCGUAGUCCGGAUUGCAGUCUGCAACUCGACUGCAUGAAGUCGGAAUCGCUAGUAAUCGCGGAUCAGCAUGUCGCGGUGAAUACGUUCCCGGGUCUUGUACACACCGCCCGUCACACCAUGGGAGUGGGUUUUACCA